GGCAGUUGAGAUUCAGACCUUGACAGUUGUAACCGAUAGACUGGGCUGGGGCAACGCUGAUGAAAGGCAAAUUCCUGAGAGAAAAAUCACCCAGAGUAAGGAGUUUGGCACUGUAGACUAGAUUCAGCUGCAGGAAUUGUGCACUAGAAAAAUGCAGUGUUUCUUUUUUUUUUUUUUUUGAGACGGAGUCUUGUUCUGUCGCCAGGCUGGAGUGCAGUGGCACCAUCUUGGCUCACUGCAACCUCUCUCUCCCGGGUUCACAAGAUUCUCCUGCCUCAGCCUCCUGAGUAGCUGGGAUUACAGGCACCCACCACGAUGCCCGGCUAAUUUUUAGUAGAGACAGGGUUUCACCAUGUUGACCAGGCUGGCCUCGAACUCCUGACCUCAUGUGAUCUGCCCGCCUGGGCCUCCCAAAGUGCUGGGAUUACAGGUGUGAGCCACUGCGCCCGGCCAAGAUGUGGUGUUUCUAAUGGCAGGCACUUGAACCCAAUUGAACCCUGAGAGCUCUCUGAGAGGGCUGUGUGUCUUGGGAAUGAGAGAGUUAUGAGUUUUUCAGUGCCUUCUCUAGCUUUCUAGAAGUUGUUAUGAGUGGACCUGACUACCUAGAGAGAGUAAUACAGAAGCUCCGUGCCGAUCACAGCUACCUCAUUACCAUGUUCCUCCAAGAUGGCCGCCCCUGAGGAGAAUCAUCAACUGGGCUUUACGGAAGAGAGAAAUCCAAACGACCAUCAGCAACAAAUGAAAGACUGAAGUUGAAAGGAAAUCCAUAAUUUUUGAAUGCUGGCCGAGGUCUGUGACCUCUGACUGAAUGGUUUCCAAGCUCCGAAUUCCUAGGUGAUGUUUUCAUUUGUUCACACUUGCUGAAGAAGGGAAAGGCUCUCUGAUUUACGUGUAAGCAAAACAAUCUAAACAGUAGGAUAAAAUCAUGUUGGAAUGGAGUUCUGUGUGGAUGCUCCUUUGAACCAAAUCAGUUCCACAACUGACCCUGUCAGGGACAUAUAAAUUUAGCAUUUUGGUGUGGAUACAGAAGACGAGAUUAACACAGAUCAAGUAACAUGGAAAUAAAAAAGGAGACAAUGCUGGAUGAUACAGGGGCAGCCAACAAGAGGAGAAAACCCAAGCAUUGGCAAAUGCCUCAUUAUCCAAAGAACACUGAGGUGUGGAGCAAAACUGUGUUGAAUGAACUGUAGAUGGAAAUUCUCUCCUUCCCACCGAGGAGCCGCUGCAGGUUGCAGACUCCCAGAAUGCCACACUGAGAAGAGGAGGGCUAAAAUUCUAGAGCAGAAUCCCUGGGGCAGCCCCUGCUGAAGAAGGGUGCAUCUGUUGAGAAUCUCAUCACCGCCCCCACCCCGCCCAGCCUUCAAUUUAGAGGAAUUUCUAGUUCACGCAGAAUGAAGACAAGAUCACAUAAGUGAGGACGACGCCCCAUUUACAAGUGUGAUUUGGAAGACUGAAGUGGAAACCUUGGGAAGGGGCCUCAGAGUAUGUCAGCUGGGGUCAGACGGGAACAGGAGUCUGGCUCAACACACAUUUAUUGCACUCCUGUUUCAUGCCAAGAAAUGUACCAAAAUCUGGGACUGUGUAACACAGCAAAGGAAAAGACUCAUCUCCAGGAAGCCCCCUUGUCUAGGAAGAGAAAUUGAAUAUCAGCAUAAGGUGGUGAAAAGCUGUGAAGGAGAUGAGUGCCAGGAGUCCAUGGAGGAAGGAUUCUAGCCUGGACAGGUGAUUGUGGUGAAUAGUCAUGAGAAUCUGGGAACUGGCUCCUGCUCUGUCUAUCUUGGAGAUGCAUCUUUUAGUCUCCAUGAAUUGCAAGGGAAAACAAGUGGUACACUGGUAUUUCUAUUUGAUAACCUGUUCUCUUUGGAAUUCCGGUUAGAAAUCAAAGGCUUACUUGAGUUUUAAUGCUUUCGGGACUUCAAAUGCUUUUCUAUCUUCCUAAUAAUAUAUUAACAUUUUCUGAAGACAACAUAUAUGUGGAAAACAACAUUAUUUACUCAAAUAAUUUUUUUUGAAAAAUGGACCAAAAAAAAAGAAAAACCAACAAAAA
This is a long non-coding RNA of Homo sapiens (human), 2047 nucleotides long. Ensembl annotates it as long intergenic non-protein coding RNA 1206. NCBI's taxonomy places the organism in Eukaryota, Metazoa, Chordata, Mammalia, Primates, Hominidae. The record is from Ensembl.